Molecule: RNA transcript, 2058 nt
Organism: Lolium perenne
Lineage: Eukaryota; Viridiplantae; Streptophyta; Magnoliopsida; Poales; Poaceae
Gene name: transcription initiation factor TFIID subunit 15b
Source: RefSeq, a predicted model, not a curated record
UGCCCUAAUCCACAGCACCUCUCGCCCGCAUCGCGAAUACUCUGUUCCGGCUCCGCCCCCGCGGCCUCUCGAACACUCCCAAACCCUAGCCAGGCGUGAACCCCAUGUCGGGGUACGGAUCCGACGACUACCGCGGCGGCGGCGGCGGUGGCUACGGCGGCCGAGAUGGCGGCGGUCGCGGGCGCGGAGGCGGUGGAGGAUACGGUGGUAGCGGCGGUGGGGGUUAUGGAGGUGGUGGCGGUGGCGGAGGGUAUGGCGGCGGUGGUGGGAGAGGAGGUGGUGGAGGAGGAGGCUACGGCGGCGGCGGUGGCGGAGGCGGCGGGAGAGGUGGCGGGCGCGGGGGAGGACGCGAAGGCGACUGGGUCUGCCCUGACGCGAGCUGCGGUAAUGUGAACUUUGCGAGGAGAACUGAGUGCAAUAAAUGUGGUUCAGCUAACCCAAGUGGAGGUGGAGGUGGAGGUGGUGGCGGUGGGUAUGAUAGGUCUGGUGGAGGCUACAACCGUGGUGGUGGUGAUCAUGGUUCAGGUGGUGGUGGUGGCUACAGCAGAGGUGACGGAGGACGAGGAGGAUAUAAUCGUGAUGGUGGUAGUGGUCGUGGUUUUGAUGACCACCGUGGUGGUAGUGGUGGUUAUGGAGGAAGAGACCAAGAGAACAACCAAAGGGUGGAAAAAAAUACCUAUAAUGAUGGUGGCUAUGGACAAGCUCCCCCUAAAGGUCCUCCAUCCUAUGGCGGGCCUGCAGGUGACUACGCAGCGCCCCCAAGUUCUUAUGGAGGAAGCAAUGUAUACAGUUCAGAUAAUGCAGUGCCACCCCCUAACAGCUAUGGUGGUGGUCGAGGCUCUUACCCACCAAGCUAUGGUGCCCCACCUCAAAACCCAUAUAGUGGUGGUGCCCCAGGGGGGCAAGGAGGCCUGCCACCUACAUAUGAUGGUGGUUAUGGUGGUCGUUCUGCGCCUGGGAGUGGAGGCGCAGGUGGCGCACCCCCAUCCUAUCAUGGGGGUGGUGGCGGCGGUGGUUAUACAGGAAAUGCUACCCCUGAACCAGCUACAAAGGUUAAGCAGUGUGAUGCAAACUGUGAUGAUUCCUGUGACAAUCCAAGGAUUUACAUCUCAAACCUUCCUCCUGAUGUGACUGUUGAGGAACUGCAAGAGCUUUUUGGAGGAAUUGGCCAGGUUGGAAGGAUCAAGCAGAAGCGUGGUUACAAAGACCAGUGGCCCUGGAACAUUAAAAUCUAUGCUGAUGAUUCUGGAAAAAACAAAGGAGAUGCUUGUCUCGCUUAUGAAGAUCCAUCUGCUGCUCAUGCAGCUGGUGGAUUCUACAACAAUUAUGACAUGAGAGGCCAUAAAAUUAGUGUUGUGAUGGCGGAGAAAUCGGCACCCAGGGCUCCCACAUCUGGUCACGGAGGUGGACGCGGUGGUGGUGGUGGCUAUGGAGGGGACCGGCGCAGAGACGGAGGAGGUCAUGGGCCUAACAGGAACCAGGGUGGUGGUUCACGUUCCAGGCCAUACUGAAAACACAUAUAAUUACCUAAGAUUGUCAUCUGUGAGAAACCUUUUCUAUUCAUGUUCUCCGGACUUGUACCCAUACAGGAGCUUAAGAGGCAGCUGGAUAAGCUCCAAAUGCUGAUAGGUUUUGAGAUGUUAUUACAGCCGGUGGAUCACUGCUGUAAGCUUUGGAUUUCGCUGGGAGGACAUGAUGCCAUUUUUGUUCAAUGAUAGAUUCACCAGCUUUGGAUUCAUCACUUGGGAUUUUUAUCUGUUUGUGAAAUCUAUAGUUGCAUAUGCUUGAUUGGCAUCAUUUGCCUAUGCUAAAUUCGGAUGAGCACCCAGCAGACAGCGCUGGCAUCAACUAGAAAUUUCCUUGUCCUACUCUUUGAGUUUCCAGCGACUAACCGGAGCCACAGAGCCGGCUUCAGCAAAAUUGAAGUCAGAGCCACCUUCAAUUCAAUUGGCGCCUAGUUUAUUUAGUUCAUUUCCUUCUUUCUAUUCUUUUCUUGACAUACAGUAUUCAUCUACUGGUAUAUAACAUUCUUGAAUAUUUAUUCACAGUUCCAAGCAA